Molecule: long non-coding RNA, 384 nt
Organism: Haemorhous mexicanus (house finch)
Lineage: Eukaryota; Metazoa; Chordata; Aves; Passeriformes; Fringillidae
Exons: 3
Source: RefSeq, a predicted model, not a curated record
CAGCUUCCCACAUACACAACCCCCAUGCUGGAUCUGCUACACUCCCAAACAUGUGAGUGACAACAGGCUUGACAGCCCUUGGGGUGGUGAAAGAUCUGGCGAGAGCAAGCCUCCCCAGCAUGCUCAUCAGCCUUAAGCAAUCAUGUCUGUGAUCAUGCUGCUGAAAUAAGGAGGUCCUGAAAGACCAGCCGACUGAGAGAUGACUGAGAAGUUGGAGCCAUGGCUAUUUGUCUAGGAUUUUGUGUCAGAAAUUUCCUUUGUUUCAUGGACUCUCUGUGGACUCCAAGGUGGGUAAAAAAUUCUGACCUGCAGCCUGAGGUCAAAGUAUGAGCCUCUCCUUCCUGAAGUUUUCAACUUUGCAUAGAGCUGCUGAACUAGAAUGCA